GAUGAAGAACGAAGCGAAAUGCGAUAAGUAGUGUGAAUUGCAGAAUUCAGUGAAUCAUCGAGUCUUUGAACGCACAUUGCGCCCCCUGGUAUUCCGGGGGGCAUGCCUGUCCGAGCGUCAUUGCUGCCCUCAAGCACGGCUUGUGUGUUGGGCCUCCGUCCUCCUCCCGGGGGACGGGCCCGAAAGGCAGCGGCGGCACCGCGUCCGGUCCUCGAGCGUAUGGGGCUUCGUCACCCGCUCUUGUAGGCCCGGCCGGCGCUUGCCGACACAUCAAUCUUUUUUCCAGGUUGACCUCGGAUCAGGUAGGGAUACCCGCUGAACUUAAGCAUAUCAAUAAGCGGAGGA
This 345-nucleotide unclassified non-coding RNA is filed under the name soil metagenome. RNAcentral's name for it is "partial contains 5.8S ribosomal RNA, internal transcribed spacer 2, and large subunit ribosomal RNA". The stretch from base 1 to 120 matches the Rfam family "5.8S ribosomal RNA", at positions 35 to 154 of the family's 154-position model. The record is from RNAcentral.